UAGAAUUCCACGUGUAGCGGUGAAAUGCGUAGAGAUGUGGAGGAAUACCGGUGGCGAAGGCGGCCUUCUGGACAGAUACUGACGCUGAGAUGCGAAAGCGUGGGGAGCAAACAGGAUUAGAUACCCUGGUAGUCCACGCUGUAAACGAUGUCGAUUUGGAGUUUGUUGCCUAGAGUGAUGGGCUCCGAAGCUAACGCGAUAAAUCGACCGCCUGGGGAGUACGGCCGCAAGGUUAAAACUCAAAUGAAUUGACGGGGGCCCGCACAAGCGGUGGAGCAUGUGGUUUAAUUCGAUGCAACGCGAAGAACCUUACCUGGUCUUGACAUCCACAGAAUCCUGCAGAGAUGCGAGAGUGCCUUCGGGAACUGUGAGACAGGUGCUGCAUGGCUGUCGUCAGCUCGUGUUGUGAAAUGUUGGGUUAAGUCCCGCAACGAGCGCAACCCUUAUCCUUUGUUGCCAGCGAUUCGGUCGGGAACUCAAAGGAGACUGCCGUUGAUAAAGCGGAGGAAGGUGGGGACGACGUCAAGUCAUCAUGGCCCUUACGACCAGGGCUACACACGUGCUACAAUGGCGUAUACAAAGGGAGGCGACCUCGCGAGAGCAAGCGGACCUCAUAAAGUACGUCUAAGUCCGGAUUGGAGUCUGCAACUCGACUCCAUGAAGUCGGAAUCGCUAGUAAUCGUGAAUCAGAAUGU
RNAcentral lists this ribosomal RNA (695 nucleotides) under uncultured Gilliamella sp. RNAcentral's name for it is "bacterial SSU rRNA". It matches the Rfam family "Bacterial small subunit ribosomal RNA", at positions 662 to 1357 of the family's 1533-position model. Lineage: Bacteria; Pseudomonadati; Pseudomonadota; Gammaproteobacteria; Orbales; Orbaceae. The record is from RNAcentral.